AGCGAACGCUGGCGGCGUGCUUAACACAUGCAAGUCGCGCGCGAAAGAGGCUUUCGGGUCUUGAGUAGAGCGGCGCACGGGUGCGUAAGACGCGGGUGACCUAUCCACGAGGUGGGGAUAACCCUUCGAAAGAGGGGCUAAUACCGGAUGAGCCCACAGGCAGAGAUGCUAGGGGGCGAAAGGGUAGCGAUUUACUAAGCGCAUCUCUUCGUGGCGGGGCCCACGGCCUAUCAGCUAGUUGGUGUGGUAACGGCACACCAAGGCGAAGACGGGUAGCUGGUCUGAGAGGAUGGCCAGCCACACGGGGACUGAGACACGGCCCCGA
This 325-nucleotide ribosomal RNA is filed under the name uncultured bacterium. RNAcentral describes it as "bacterial SSU rRNA". It matches the Rfam family "Bacterial small subunit ribosomal RNA", at positions 30 to 335 of the family's 1533-position model. The record is from RNAcentral.